This 76-nucleotide transfer RNA is filed under the name Oscillospiraceae bacterium. RNAcentral's name for it is "tRNA-Gln". It matches the Rfam family "tRNA". From Rfam's summary of the family: Transfer RNA (tRNA) molecules are approximately 80 nucleotides in length. The record is from RNAcentral. Lineage: Bacteria; Bacillati; Bacillota; Clostridia; Eubacteriales; Oscillospiraceae.
UGGGAUAUCGCCAAGCGGUCUAAGGCCCCGGCCUUUGAAACCGGUAUCGCUGGUUCGAAUCCAGCUAUCCCAGCCA